GGGCCCGUGGCGGAACUGGCAGACGCGACGGACUUAAAAUCCGUUUGGGGGAAACCCCAGUGUGGGUUCAAGUCCCACCGGGCCCA
This 86-nucleotide transfer RNA is filed under the name Phycisphaerales bacterium. RNAcentral's name for it is "tRNA-Leu". It matches the Rfam family "tRNA". Rfam says of the family: Transfer RNA (tRNA) molecules are approximately 80 nucleotides in length. Lineage: Bacteria; Pseudomonadati; Planctomycetota; Phycisphaerae; Phycisphaerales. The record is from RNAcentral.